Molecule: transfer RNA, 75 nt
Filed under: Clostridiales bacterium
Lineage: Bacteria; Bacillati; Bacillota; Clostridia; Eubacteriales
Description: tRNA-Glu
Rfam family: tRNA
About the family: Transfer RNA (tRNA) molecules are approximately 80 nucleotides in length. Their secondary structure includes four short double-helical elements and three loops (D, anti-codon, and T loops).
Source: RNAcentral
GGCCCUAUGGUCAAGCGGUCAAGACAUCGCCCUUUCACGGCGGUAACCCGGGUUCGAUUCCCGGUGGGGUCACCA